UACGAAGGGGGCUAGCGUUGUUCGGAAUCACUGGGCGUAAAGCGCACGUAGGCGGAUUGUUAAGUCAGGGGUGAAAGCCUGGAGCUCAACUCCAGAACUGCCCUUGAUACUGGCAAUCUCGAGUCCGGAAGAGGUAAGUGGAACUCCGAGUGUAGAGGUGAAAUUCGUAGAUAUUCGGAAGAACACCAGUGGCGAAGGCGGCUUACUGGUCCGGUACUGACGCUGAGGUGCGAAAGCGUGGGGA
RNAcentral lists this ribosomal RNA (244 nucleotides) under uncultured bacterium. RNAcentral's name for it is "partial 16S ribosomal RNA". It matches the Rfam family "Bacterial small subunit ribosomal RNA", at positions 524 to 767 of the family's 1533-position model. The record is from RNAcentral.